GGGGUCUCGGGCAGGGGCGGGGAGCUUACCGACCUCCCGCCCCCGCUGCGCGCGUUUCUGGCCCUGCCAGUGUCUCCGCCGGUUGAAAGCGCGUGUCUGCGUCGGGUUCUGUUGGAGUGCGUUCGGUGCGCCGUGGGUCCGCGCUGCUUCCACCCAACUUCCUGUUAGUUUCUCUCCUGUCACAAUGGCAUGAUCUCGGCUCACUGCGACCUCUGCUUCCUGGGUUCAAGGAUUCUCCUGCCUCAGCCUCCCAA
This 254-nucleotide long non-coding RNA is filed under the name Homo sapiens (human). RNAcentral's name for it is "non-protein coding LINC01128:68". The record is from RNAcentral. Lineage: Eukaryota; Metazoa; Chordata; Mammalia; Primates; Hominidae.